RNAcentral lists this ribosomal RNA (207 nucleotides) under uncultured bacterium. RNAcentral describes it as "partial 16S ribosomal RNA". It matches the Rfam family "Bacterial small subunit ribosomal RNA", at positions 568 to 774 of the family's 1533-position model. The record is from RNAcentral.
UGCGUAGGCGGUUAUAUUAGUCGGGUGUUAAAUCCUGGGGCUCAACCUCAGGCUCGCAUUCGAAACGGUAUAACUAGAAGAAGUCAGAGGUAAGCAGAACUCUCGGUGUAGGGGUGAAAUCCGUUGAUAUCGAGGGGAAUACCAAAUGCGAAGGCAGCUUACUGGGACUCUCUUGACGCUGAGGCACGAAAGCGUGGGUAGCGAACG